UGGGGAAUAUUGCACAAUGGGCGCAAGCCUGAUGCAGCCAUGCCGCGUGUAUGAAGAAGGCCUUCGGGUUGUAAAGUACUUUCAGCGGGGAGGAAGGCGAUAAGGUUAAUAACCUUGUCGAUUGACGUUACCCGCAGAAGAAGCACCGGCUAACUCCGUGCCAGCAGCCGCGGUAAUACGGAGGGUGCAAGCGUUAAUCGGAAUUACUGGGCGUAAAGCGCACGCAGGCGGUCUGUCAAGUCGGAUGUGAAAUCCCCGGGCUCAACCUGGGAACUGCAUUCGAAACUGGCAGGCUAGAGUCUUGUAGAGGGGGGUAGAAUUCCAGGUGUAGCGGUGAAAUGCGUAGAGAUCUGGAGGAAUAGCGGUGGCGAAGGCGGCCCCCUGGACAAAGACUGACGCUCAGGUGCGAAAGCGUGGGGAGCAAACA
This 427-nucleotide ribosomal RNA is filed under the name uncultured bacterium. RNAcentral's name for it is "partial 16S ribosomal RNA". It matches the Rfam family "Bacterial small subunit ribosomal RNA", at positions 355 to 774 of the family's 1533-position model. The record is from RNAcentral.